This 103-nucleotide ribosomal RNA is filed under the name uncultured marine bacterium. RNAcentral's name for it is "partial small subunit ribosomal RNA". The record is from RNAcentral.
UAUACGCGUGGAACCUUACCAACACUUGACAUGUUCGUCGCGACUCUAAGAGAUUAGAGUUUUCGGUUCGGCCGGACGAAACACAGGUGUUGCAUGGCUGUCG